Molecule: ribosomal RNA, 477 nt
Filed under: uncultured bacterium
Lineage: Bacteria
Description: partial 16S ribosomal RNA
Rfam family: Bacterial small subunit ribosomal RNA
Source: RNAcentral
GACGAACGCUGGCGGCGUGCUUAACACAUGCAAGUCGAACGGUAAGGCCCUUCGGGGUACACGAGUGGCGAACGGUGAGUAACACGUGGGUGAUCUGCCCUGCACUUCGGGAUAAGCCUGGGAAACUGGGUCUAAUACCGGAUAGGACCACUGCCUGCAUGGGUGGUGGUGGAAAGCUUUUGCGGUGUGGGAUGGGCCCGCGGCCUAUCAGCUUGGUGGUGGGGUGAUGGCCUACCAAGGCGCCGACGGGUAGCCGGCCUGCGAGGGUGACCGGCCACACUGGGACUGAGAUACGGCCCAGACUCCUACGGGAGGCAGCGGUGGGGAAUAUUGCACAAUGGGCGCAAGCCUGAUGCAGCGACGCCGCGUGAGGGAUGGCGGCCUUCGGGUUGUAAACCUCUUUCAGCACCGACGAAGCGCAAGUGACGGUAGGUGCAGAAGAAGGACCGGCCAACUACGUGCCAGCCGCCGCCGUAA